GAUGAAGAACGUAGCGAAAUGCGAUAAGUAAUGUGAAUUGCAGAAUUCCGUGAAUCAUCGAAUCUUUGAACGCACAUUGCGCCCCCUGGUAUUCCGGGGGGCAUGCCUGUCCGAGCGUCAUUACAACCCUCAAGCUCAGCUUGGUGUUGGGCCCCGCCGCCCCGGCGGGCCCUAAAGUCAGUGGCGGUGCCGUCCGGCUCCGAGCGUAGUAAUUCUUCUCGCUCUGGAGGUCCGGUCGCGUGCUCGCCAGCAACCCCCAAUUUUUUCAGGUUGACCUCGGAUCAGGUAGGGAUACCCGCUGAACUUAAGCAUAUCAAUAAGCGGAGGA
RNAcentral lists this unclassified non-coding RNA (328 nucleotides) under soil metagenome. Its description in RNAcentral is "partial contains 5.8S ribosomal RNA, internal transcribed spacer 2, and large subunit ribosomal RNA". The stretch from base 1 to 120 matches the Rfam family "5.8S ribosomal RNA", at positions 35 to 154 of the family's 154-position model. The record is from RNAcentral.